Molecule: long non-coding RNA, 659 nt
Filed under: Amborella trichopoda
Lineage: Eukaryota; Viridiplantae; Streptophyta; Magnoliopsida; Amborellales; Amborellaceae
Description: long non-coding RNA (ATRI_LNC001953)
Source: RNAcentral
AUAAAACAAGUACUUAAGCAGAAAAUAAAAUAUAUGAUAUCGAUUUUAGUUUUGCAAAAUAUGUAAGUUUUUAUUCGAAAUUUCCUAAUAAAUAACAAAGUAUGCAAUCAUGCUGCUGAAUAUUUAAAAAACAAUGAUAAGUAUUCUAUGAUCAAUGCUUGAUUAGUUGUUUUAUGGUGAUAGUACUAACGACCAAGUUUUAAAAAAUCGGUGACCUUAUCCGGAAUCGGGCUAUCCAAAUCGAGAAUAGCCCAGAACGCUCCGGAUUAGGCCAAAAAACAGGAUUCGAGUGGUUUCAAAUAGUAGAAUCACCGAUUUUUUUGCGGAACUACCAAUUCUUCAUCAAGUCCACCUGAUUCUUGACCGAUUACGACCGAUUCUUCAUCGAUUCCGACCGAUUCUUCACCGAGUCAAGCGAAAAAAAAGGAUGAAAAAGUUUUUCUUGAAUUAUUUUUUUAUAAAAAUUGAAACAAAAAUUACCAAUUCUGUCUAUUCUUCCAAUCCGAUCCACUGAUUCACCCGAUCUGUCAUGGGUAUGGGUGUGAUCAAUGUGAGUCACCGACCUGUUUUUUUAAACUUUGCUAAUGACCAUUCAUUUUUCUAUGAUCACUGGAUCAUAGUAUAUUUUACCAAAUUUCAAAGGGAAAUUAUCAAAAAAG